GUAAAACGUAGGAGGCGAGCGUUAUCCGGAUUUACUGGGCGUAAAGCGCGCGCAGGCGGCUUCGUAAGUCGGACGUGAAAGCCCCCGGCUCAACUGGGGGAGGCCGUUCGAUACUGCGGGGCUUGAGGUCGGGAGAGGGAAGCGGAAUUCCCGGUGUAGUGGUGAAAUGCGUAGAUAUCGGGAGGAACACCAGUGGCGAAGGCGGCUUCCUGGCCCGCACCUGACGCUAAGGCGCGAAAGCGUGGGGAGCGAACGGGAUUAGAUACCCCGGUAGUCCACGCCCUAAACGAUGGCAACUAGGUGUUGGGGGUAUUGACCCCCUCAGUGCCGAAGCUAACGCGAUAAGUUGCCCGCCUGAGGACUACGAGCGCAAGCUUAAAACUCAAAGGAAUUGACGGGGACCCGCACAAGCAGCGGAGCGUGUGGUUUAAUUCGAUGCAACACGAAGAACCUUACCUGGGCUUGACAUGGCCGUAGUAGUGAAGCGAAAGUGGAACGAGCCUGUAUAGGCAGCGGUCACAGGUGCUGCAUGGCUGUCGUCAGCUCGUGCCGUGAGGUGUCGGGUUAAGUCCCGCAACGAGCGCAACCCCUGCUGUUAGUUAUACGUGUCUAACGGGACUGCCGGUUUAACGCCGGAGGAAGGUGGGGAUGACGUCAAGUCAGCAUGGCCUUUAUGUCCAGGGCUACACACACGCUACAAUGGCCGGUACAAUGGGUUGCCAAGUCGCGAGGCGGAGCUAAUCCCAUCAAAGCCGGUCUCAGUUCGAAUUGGAGUCUGCAACCCGACUCCAUGAAGUUGGAGUUGCUAGUAACCGCCGGUCAGCCAUACGGCGGUGAAUACGUUCCCGGGUCUUGUACACACCGCCCGUCACGUCAUGGGAGCCGGUAACACCUGAAGCCGGUGGGCUAACCCGCAAGGGAGGCAGCUGUCGAAGGUGGGACUGGUGACUGGGACG
RNAcentral lists this ribosomal RNA (956 nucleotides) under uncultured bacterium. Its description in RNAcentral is "bacterial SSU rRNA". It matches the Rfam family "Bacterial small subunit ribosomal RNA", at positions 520 to 1482 of the family's 1533-position model. The record is from RNAcentral.